UACAGAGGGGGCAAGCGUUGUUCGGAAUUACUGGGCGUAAAGGGCGCGUAGGCGGCCUUCUAAGUCGAACGUGAAAUCCCCGGGCUCAACCCGGGAACUGCGUCCGAUACUGGAAGGCUUGAAUCCGGGAGAGGGAUGCGGAAUUCCAGGUGUAGCGGUGAAAUGCGUAGAUAUCUGGAGGAACACCGGUGGCGAAGGCGGCAUCCUGGACCGGCAUUGACGCUGAGGCGCGAAAGCCAGGGGAG
This 245-nucleotide ribosomal RNA is filed under the name uncultured bacterium. RNAcentral's name for it is "partial 16S ribosomal RNA". It matches the Rfam family "Bacterial small subunit ribosomal RNA", at positions 524 to 768 of the family's 1533-position model. The record is from RNAcentral.